CCUACGGGAGGCAGCAGUGAGGAAUAUUGGUCAAUGGACGAGAGUCUGAACCAGCCAAGUAGCGUGAAGGAUGACUGCCCUAUGGGUUGUAAACUUCUUUUAUAUGGGAAUAAAAUGUUCCACGUGUGGGCUUUUGUAUGUACCAUAUGAAUAAGGAUCGGCUAACUCCGUGCCAGCAGCAGCGGUAAUACGGAGGAUCCGAGCGUUAUCCGGAUUUAUUGGGUUUAAAGGGAGCGUAGGUGGAUUGUUAAGUCAGUUGUGAAAGUUUGCGGCUCAACCGUAAAAUUGCAGUUGAAACUGGCAGUCUUGAGUACAGUAGAGUUGGGCGGAAUUCGUGGUGUAGCGGUGAAAUGCUUAGAUAUCACGAAGAACUCCGAUUGCGAAGGCAGCUCACUGGACUGCAACUGACACUGAGGCUCGAAAGUGUGGGUAUCAAACAGGAUUAGAUACCCUUGUAGUC
This 460-nucleotide ribosomal RNA is filed under the name uncultured bacterium. Its description in RNAcentral is "partial 16S ribosomal RNA". It matches the Rfam family "Bacterial small subunit ribosomal RNA", at positions 338 to 795 of the family's 1533-position model. The record is from RNAcentral.